GUCAUUGGCGUUUGCGAUUGUGUCGGAUAAUGAAGAUUGGUAAAAUGAAGGUUUUUACAUUAGUGGUAUUAUCUCUGGGCGCCUUUGCAGGAAUUGCUGAUGCGGUACGAUGCUAUGCCUGCAGUGCAUACCGGAACCAACCAUGUGGGGUUGACGUUGACCGUACAACACCAAUAAAAUCUGGCUGUAGCUUUUGUGUGGUUAAUUUUAACAAGAUAAAUGGAAUUACAAAAGUUGUGAGGAUAUGCAUGACAUCGACAGACGUUGGCUUAGACACAGAUGAGAGUGGCCCAGUGGGUGUAUGCGUGACUGCGGAUACGUGCAGCUGCAAUACAGACCUUUGCAAUGCCAACACGCAAUCAGCUCUUGCGGCCGCCUCCGGUGGCACAGGACGCUUUUCCGCUUCAAACGUCUGGAUACUAGGCAUAGUUGCCGUCAUGGCAUUGAUUAUGGAUGCCUUCUGACUUUCAUAUUACUAUAUGAAGUAAUUUGUUGAUUUCAGUGUAUACAUCCUAUUUUUAUUUCAUGAGUUGUCAUAUAAAACGUAUUUUAACGAGUGACGUUCAAUGUUUUUGCAUUGUUUUUGCGUGAACACAAAUGCAUUGGUAUUAUAUCUACGAUUUGUUACUGACAUUAAACAUUUUUAGUUCACGCCUGUGUCAAACAAUACAUAUUUUGAAAGGCAACAUUUGAUUUAGCGUCAUUACAUCUCAUAAAUCUGACAUGAUUAAAAUGACUUCAUACGAUCAAAAAAUGUCGCUGCCCGCUAUGUGGCAAUGGCAAAGUUAUUUAGCUUGUGUGUAUUUUAACAUUGAUUGUAUUAAUUAUUGAAUUAUUUUAUUUAUUUUCUGAUGAUUAAUAGGUUGAAUGUUACACUGGUGAUGAGAUAAUUAACCGUUGUUUACUAGUUUCUAAAAAUAAGCACCGCACGAGAGUGAAAAUGUAAAACCAAAUCAUGUCGCUCGAGCAAGAGUGAAAUGAUCAUGUUAUCACCCAUUCAAAUAGCAUGCAAUAAAGGUGUGUAUCACAUGUGUGGUAUUAAUUGAAGUAUGUGCACAAUUAUGAUUAUGAUAUUGACAUACUUUACUAUAAACAUAGUUUGCUAUAUUUAGCGGCUUAAUGUUUGUUUAGCCUUAAUUUAAGUGAGGUAUACUGCUUUAAUAUAAUAAACUUACACAAACAGCAAUACAUUAAAUCAUAUUGUUACGCAUAAUAACACACAUAUAGUUGUGUAUGAAGUCU
This is a long non-coding RNA of Dreissena polymorpha, 1242 nucleotides long. RefSeq lists it as uncharacterized. The record is from RefSeq and is a predicted model, not a curated record. The transcript is spliced from 3 exons. NCBI's taxonomy places the organism in Eukaryota, Metazoa, Mollusca, Bivalvia, Myida, Dreissenidae.